Prionailurus viverrinus (fishing cat) is the source of this 1417-nucleotide long non-coding RNA. RefSeq lists it as uncharacterized. NCBI's taxonomy places the organism in Eukaryota, Metazoa, Chordata, Mammalia, Carnivora, Felidae. The transcript has 3 exons. The record is from RefSeq and is a predicted model, not a curated record.
GUUACCCUAUUUGAAGAAAUGAAUUUUUUUUCCAGAAAACAUAAUAUUGUGCAAACAUGAAAUUCUUUCACUGUGGCAACAUUUGUUUUCUUGAUAAAGUUAUUUUUCCAUUUGAGAAAAAUUGCUAGGAAAAUAGGUUUGUGCUUAAAAAUUUUAAAUAUUUUGGCAAAAAUCAUAAAACCAUCAUAACCAUAAGUAAAGCCAAUAGAGAAGCCAACAGACCAGAGGAGAAAUUUGCCGCUCAUUUCAGUGACAAAAGGGGAAUAAAUGUUCUUAAUAUAUAAAGAACUAUUGAUCAAUGAAAAAGACCAGCCUUCCAGGUGAAAAAUUCUCAGGUGGUUUAUGGCAAAGGAAAUAUAAAUGGUGCCUCCAUCCAUGACAAAAUGUGCUAAACCACACAGAGAAAAUAAGGUGAAAAUUAUGAUGUACCAUUUCCCACCUACAUUUCAGCAAAGAUAAAAAGUUGGAUAAUUCUCUAAUUUUAUAAGGUUAUAGAGAAAUAGGCCCAUGUAUGUGUAAUUGGUGGGUGCGCAAAUUGAUACAGCCUCCAUUUUUUGUCGAAAGUGAAUUUAUACUCUAGGAUGUGUUCACAUGCAGGAGACGUACAAGCAUGUUCGUGGCAGUAUCGUUUGCAAGAGCAGAGGACUACAGACAACUGGCCUAUGCCUAUCAAAAUGGGGUCAUUAAAUAAAUAAAGCCCUGUCAUUGAACUAUAGGGAUCCGAACUUUCUUUGUAUAUGCUGAGUGUAUUAAGUGACAUUCUGUGUAUAUGCUAAUAAUGACAAAAGCAUUGUAUUUUCAUUUGCAUAAAAAAACAUUUGUUUGCUACGUGUAUAGGUUAUCUUUAGAAGGAGACACAAGAAAUUGGUAACCAUGGUUGCCUUUGAAUUGGGGAGCUGGAUGGCUGACCCCUUGACAGGGUGAGAAGGAUACAUACCUUAUACUAGAUGUCCCUUUAGUACUUUUUGAAUUUUGAACCUAUUUUGUAUUACCUACAUCCCCACUCCCCCAAAGUAAUGUUUCAAAAUUAUGCAGUGGACAGGUCUGCAAGGUAUGGGACUAUUGAAAUAAUGGAAUUUUAAUAACCUGUCAAGGAUCUUACAUUGCCUAUCCCAUCCAGGGAAGUAGUCACAUGAGCAGUUGGCUCAUUGAAUAAAGAACUCUGGUCUUAUACCCAUAACUACACAAAGUGCAAUUACUGAAACUCCAGCUGGCACUCUGAACUUGAAGGCAGUUGGUGGAGAUCACUGAAUAGGCUAUACUAAGAGCUUGAUCUAACGUGAAAUAAGAAACUGGAAAGAAGCAAAGGAAGGAUGGUAUGUAAACUGUGCAGAGAGAUUACUAUUUGGAAAAGCCAGAGAGAUGCCUGUGUUGCAAAAGGGAGAGACAGAACAUGAACAGGGGAGGGUCAGAGAGA